GAUGAACGCUGGCGGCGUGCCUAAUACAUGCAAGUCGAGCGAACGGACGAGAAGCUUGCUUUUCUGAUGUUAGCGGCGGACGGGUGAGUAACACGUGGAUAACCUACCUAUAAGACUGGGAUAACUUCGGGAAACCGGAGCUAAUACCGGAUAAUAUUUUGAACCGCAUGGUUCAAAAGUGAAAGACGGUCUUGCUGUCACUUAUAGGUGGAUCCGCGCUGCAUUAGCUAGUUGGUAAGGUAACGGCUUACCAAGGCAACGAUGCAUAGCCGACCUGAGAGGGUGAUCGGCCACACUGGAACUGAGACACGGUCCAGACUCCUACGGGAGGCAGCAGUAGGGAAUCUUCCGCAAUGGGCGAAAGCCUGACGGAGCAACGCCGCGUGAGUGAUGAAGGUCUUCGGAUCGUAAAACUCCGUUAUUAGGGAAGAACAUAUGUGUAAGUAACUGUGCACAUCUUGACGGUACCUAAUCAGAAAGCCACGGCUAACUACGUG
This 497-nucleotide ribosomal RNA is filed under the name uncultured bacterium. RNAcentral's name for it is "partial 16S ribosomal RNA". It matches the Rfam family "Bacterial small subunit ribosomal RNA", at positions 28 to 507 of the family's 1533-position model. The record is from RNAcentral.